Molecule: ribosomal RNA, 253 nt
Filed under: uncultured Eubacteriales bacterium
Lineage: Bacteria; Bacillati; Bacillota; Clostridia; Eubacteriales
Description: uncultured Clostridiales bacterium partial 16S ribosomal RNA
Rfam family: Bacterial small subunit ribosomal RNA
Source: RNAcentral
UACGUAGGGGGCGAGCGUUAUCCGGAUUUACUGGGUGUAAAGGGAGCGUAGACGGCCAUGCAAGCUCGGUGUGAAAGGUGCGGGCACAACCCGCAGACUGCACUGAGAACUGUAUGGCUAGAGUGCCGGAGGGGCAGGCGGAAUUCCUGGUGUAGCGGUGAAAUGCAUAGAUAUCGCGCAGAACUCCGAUUGCGAAGGCAGCAUGCCGGCUCCACACUGACGCUGAGGCACGAAAGCGUGGGUAUCGAACAGG